Notothenia coriiceps (black rockcod) is the source of this 487-nucleotide long non-coding RNA. RefSeq lists it as uncharacterized. NCBI's taxonomy places the organism in Eukaryota, Metazoa, Chordata, Actinopteri, Perciformes, Nototheniidae. The record is from RefSeq and is a predicted model, not a curated record. The transcript is spliced from 4 exons.
AAGAGCUGCAAAAGUUCCUCAGAAAACGGCCACUAAAGUUUUAGCCGUGCGAAAUGAAAAUGUUCCGAAGGACAGGGUGAAUAUAAAAGCUGGGCAAUCAACCAGACAAGAUCCACAUGGUUCUCCCCAAUGCUCUAGCCUUGUGGUCGGUGAUAAGGAGUGUCCAGCUGUUCCUGGGAAAUCAACAAAGGACGCUAAGGAGGAAGCAGCAGAGACCUCCUCCGGGAAUGAUGACGUUGCUGAAGCCAGACCACCAACUGCAAUGCAAGUCACUGACUAAUGAUAUCAUUAAUGAAUCAAAACACGAUACGUUACUAAUGUCUCCGUUUGUAUUCUCCAAGGGACACCUGUGAUGCAAAAUCAAAAAGCAUGCCAAUGACUGACUUCAUCAAUUCAUCAAGUCCUACAGAGGAUGAGGAACAAGAUCCUGUUGUGAAGCCCAAAACACGGUAAAUCACCUUGAAGGCUGCAGUACAUAUGGUUUAAA